GACGAACGCUGGCGGCGUGCUUAACACAUGCAAGUCGAACGGAAAGGCCCUGCUUUUGUGGGGUGCUCGAGUGGCGAACGGGUGAGUAACACGUGAGUAACCUGCCCUUGACUGUGGGGUAACUUCAGGAAACUGGGGCUAAUACCGGAUAGGAGCUCCUGCUGCAUGGUGGGGGUUGGAAAGUGUCGGCGGUUUGGGAUGGACUGGCGGCUUAUCAGCUUGUUGGUGGGGUAGUGGCUUACCAAGGCUUUGACGGGUAGCCGACCUGAGAGGGUAAACGGGCACAAUGGGACUGAGAGACGGACCAGACUGGUACGGGAGGCAGUGGUGGGGAGUAUUACACAGUGGGCCCACGCGUGAUACGAAAACGCCGGGUGCGGGAUGCCGGCCUUCCGGUUAUAAACCGCUUUCUCCUGUGACGAGGCGUGAGUGACGGUAAUGGGUCAAGAAGCACCGGCUAACUACGUG
RNAcentral lists this ribosomal RNA (468 nucleotides) under uncultured bacterium. Its description in RNAcentral is "partial 16S ribosomal RNA". It matches the Rfam family "Bacterial small subunit ribosomal RNA", at positions 28 to 507 of the family's 1533-position model. The record is from RNAcentral.